GAUGAAGAACGCAGCGAAAUGCGAUACUUGGUGUGAAUUGCAGAAUCCCGUGAACCAUCGAGUCUUUGAACGCAAGUUGCGCCCGAAGCCAUUUGGUUGAGGGCACGUCUGCCUGGGCGUCACAUAUCGUUGCCCGAUGCCUAUUUCACUGUGAUAGGAAAUUCUAGGGCGAAAGAUGGCUUCCCGUGAGCGUUGUUGCCUCGCGGUUGGUUGAAAAUUGAGUCCUUGGUAGGGUGUGCCAUGAUAGAUGGUGGUCGAGUUUGCACGAGACCGAUCAUGUGUGCGCUCCCCAAAAUAUGGACUCUUUGACCCCACACGCGUCUUUUGACGCUCAUGACGAGACCUCAGGUCAGGCGGGGCUACCCGCUGAGUUUAAGCAUAUCAAUAAGCGGAGGA
Molecule: unclassified non-coding RNA, 396 nt
Filed under: soil metagenome
Description: partial contains 5.8S ribosomal RNA, internal transcribed spacer 2, and large subunit ribosomal RNA
Rfam family: 5.8S ribosomal RNA (bases 1-122)
Source: RNAcentral